Homo sapiens (human) is the source of this 1512-nucleotide long non-coding RNA. Ensembl annotates it as long intergenic non-protein coding RNA 1227. The record is from Ensembl. Lineage: Eukaryota; Metazoa; Chordata; Mammalia; Primates; Hominidae.
GAGCCAUCAUGGUAGGGUGUCCAGGGUGAGGGGAGGGUGGUGUGAAUCCCCAGUAAUGCAGGUCCUUUCCAGGCCAGGCCCCUGGUCCCCAGGAGUGCGGGGAUGCCUGAGGUCUACUGCUGCCUUAUCCAGAGCUGCCAUCCCCGGCGAUGACUCAGAGUUCCUGUGGCCCCAGCAUCAUCCCUCCAUCCCUGGCUGUGAGGCAGGAGCAGAGUUGCAGACCUGAGAGGCCUUGAAUUUGUUUGAUAUAGGACUUUGCCACCAGACAAAGUGCUUUGCCUGUGAGGUCUGGCUUGGCCUGGCCUCUGAGAAAGAACAAACACAGACCUCACUGGAAGGAACCUGGAGAACGGGAGAGGAGAGGCUGCUGCUGUCUGCCCUCCCAGCAGCAGAUAUAAAGACAAUGGGCUUCUAAGUCCCCUAGAGUCCCAGCUGUGUAAUUUAAGGCGAGUUCAUCUCUCACAGCCUCAGUUUCCUCAUUUGCUGGCACCUGUCUUUCUCCUUCAUAGCCAUUGUCACUGUUGCAAUGAUAUCAACAAUGCUUACAUUUCAGAUAGAUCCCCAGCUGGGUUGAAAGGAACGUCAAGACCCUUCCUUUCUUAUGACCUAUGUAUCAACUCCCUUCUACCUUGCCUCCCUCCACUUGGAGCGAGUUCUAGUUGGUGAAAUGUAGCCAGAGGUUCCUGGAAAGGCUUUCCUUCUCAAGUAAAGCCUGGCUCAGAGAAAACCACUGGUCUCUUUCCUUUUCUUCCUCCUGACAUGAACAUGGGGCAGGAAGGAGCAUGGAGAAGACAAGAACAAGGCUCUCAGAAGGAAAUGGUGUGGCUGGAGCCAUGAGAACUGGUUGUGGAGGGGGUGAGGAAGGCAAAUAUAAUUUCUGACCUACGUAAUGAUGUAUGCACAAGAAGCCUCUCUUGAAUGUAUUAAUUCAGUAAACAGUUAUGGAGUCCUUACAAUGUGCUAGUGGGACUUUGAAGAUGAAUCCAAAUUUGGAUCCUGGCCUGGAAAGGCUCAAAGCCCAAUAUGGGAGAUUCUAGCAAGACCUUGUUUAUGUUGGAAACUGUUAGCAGACGCCGAAGCUGUCCGGGGCUGAGUGAGUACCACGUUACUCAGGCUUCACUGCGCUGAAGGAAGAGGUUGAGAUGAGGGCAGUCACUCACCUGUGAUGAAGACCCACUCUGCAGCUUCAUUUCCUGUCAUUACAGACAGUGCCUGGGCCCAAUCAGGAGGGGCUUAUGGGGAAUGGGGGGCAGGUGGCACUGGGGUGUCUAGGGAGAGCAAAUACAAAUUGGAUACCACCUAGAGGUCGCGAAAUGGAGAAUAAGUUUCUAAGAACAGCUAAAAAAUGAAAGAGACAUGACAACCAAAUGCAACAUGUGACCCUUGAUAGGCCCUUAGACUUUUUUUAAAAAAAAGCUAUAAAGAACAUUAUUGGGACCACUGUGUCAAUUUGAAUAUGAUUGCAUGUUAUAUGAUAUUAUUGCAUUAAUAUUAAACUUCUUAAGUAUGAAA